UCUUUAAAUCCUCAGUGACCAGCGGGACGGUGAGGACAGGACACGUGUCCCCGGAGAGACCCUGAGAGACUUGGACACUUUGUGGUGGACUGGACUCCUCGACCUGAACCUUCUUCCUCCUCCAGGUGUGUCCUGCAGCAGGUCUCUGACGUCAGGAGGAGGUGUCCCGGGGAGCAACAUGUCUAAGAAUUGCCCCGAGGACACUUUGGCACUAGAGGAGCCAGGGAUUGAACCAACGUCCUUCUGUAAACAGUCACAGUUCCUUGUUUCCUUCUUGGUGAGGCCUCUCCUCCUCCUCUCCCUCCACGCUGCCCUCUAUCUGCUCAGCUGGGCAAAGCUCUGAAGGUGGCUGCUCCUCCUCCAAAGCCUCAGCAAGUCGGGCCUCCUGCUCCUCCUGCUCCUCCUGCUCCUCCUUCGGAUCCCCCUCAUUGUCGGGGUCCCUCCUUGCUACCUGGUCCUCUGUCUUUUCACAGUCCAUGUCCUUGUCUUCCUCCAGGCUGCCCGGUAGCCCACAUUCAUCCUCCUCGGCCGGGCUGUGGAAAACCUCCUCCCUGUCCCCAUGUUCGUUUGGACUGUUCAAUUCACACGGGGGUGGGCCGCCGCCCCCCAGGACCCCCGCCUCCUCGCCGGCUGACCUCCUGUGCUGCCUCGUGGGCGGGCGUCUCUUGAAUGACAGGCGUGCACGAGUCUGCAUGGGAAAAAGUUAUGAAAGCAAGUGUCAAUUCUCAAUUCAGAAUCAGAAUCAGAUUUUAUUGGCCAAGUAAGUCUACACAAACAAGGAAUUUGACAUGGUGAAGUGGUUCUCAGUGUGCUGGCACAGAAUAUACAUCACAAAAUAAAACAAUACAAUACAAACAGUACGAUAGUCUAGGAAAAAGAAGAAAAGAAUUGCAGGGAUAAAUAUUAAACAGUAUGAUACAGUAGGGUUGAAGUAAAUAAAUAUAUUUAAAUAUAAUUAGGAUAAAAUAUAAUUCGGGGAGUCAUUUUACAGUGGUAUUUAUAAAGAUCCAGGGUUAUUGCACAGUGCCACAGUGGGUUGGCUGUUCAGAAGUGAGACGGCAAGGGGUAAGAAACUGUUUUUGAGUCUGGAGGUUUUGGUAAACAGAGAUCUGUAGCGCCUCCCAGAGGGGAGGCUGGCGCCUGCAGCUGACUGAGAACUGGUGCGGACCACUCGCCCCACUCCACUGUUUCACUCAUUACAUGCGAUAACAACAUAAGAUUAGGCCAAAGUUACACAUGUAGACAUGAUAUCAGCCUACAUGUGGUGUUAUACUCUUGUUUUGUUUUGUAAAACCACUCCUUGCUUCUCUAAUGCUGUGAACAACAGGUACAAUGUUCAUAAAACAUGUUGAAAAGAAUUUAAUAGUUACAUUUAUAAACAAUGUAGAUCAUAAAUAGUAAGUUUUGCCAUUACAGUGUUAACAGUUAAAUAUGUCAGGUCAAGAAAGACUGUCUUUAUUUUAUUUUAGAAAAACAAGUAUUUAUGUUAAGUGAAGUCAAGAAAGACUGUAUUUAUUUUAUUUUUAUAAAAACAUGUAUUUUUUCAGGAAAUAGUUUUUAAGUUCAACU
Long non-coding RNA from Limanda limanda (common dab), 1569 nucleotides. RefSeq lists it as uncharacterized. NCBI's taxonomy places the organism in Eukaryota, Metazoa, Chordata, Actinopteri, Pleuronectiformes, Pleuronectidae. The transcript has 3 exons. The record is from RefSeq and is a predicted model, not a curated record.